RNAcentral lists this ribosomal RNA (551 nucleotides) under uncultured bacterium. RNAcentral describes it as "bacterial SSU rRNA". It matches the Rfam family "Bacterial small subunit ribosomal RNA", at positions 355 to 897 of the family's 1533-position model. The record is from RNAcentral.
GGGGGAAUUUUGGACAAUGGGGGCAACCCUGAUCCAGCCAUGCCGCGUGAGUGAAGAAGGCCUUCGGGCUGUAAAGCUCUUUCGGCCGGGAAGAAAUCGUGGUCUCUAACAUAGGCCAUGGAUGACGGUACCGGACUAAGAAGCACCGGCUAACUACGUGCCAGCAGCCGCGGUAAUACGUAGGGUGCGAGCGUUAAUCGGAAUUACUGGGCGUAAAGCGUGCGCAGGCGGUUUUGUAAGACAGAUGUGAAAUCCCCGGGCUCAACCUGGGAACUGCGUUUGUGACUGCAAGGCUAGAGUACGGCAGAGGGGGGUGGAAUUCCACGUGUAGCAGUGAAAUGCGUAGAGAUGUGGAGGAACACCGAUGGCGAAGGCAGCCCCCUGGGCCUGUACUGACGCUCAUGCACGAAAGCGUGGGGAGCAAACAGGAUUAGAUACCCUGGUAGUCCACGCCCUAAACGAUGUCGACUAGUCGUUCGGAGCAGCAAUGCACUGAGUGACGCAGCUAACGCGUGAAGUCGACCGCCUGGGGAGUACGGCCGCAAGGUUAC